AGAAUCUGCAAUUUCCGCUGCCAAAGCAGUGACUUUUUCAUGUGGUAGUAAGCAGCAGAACGGAUCUGUAAGGAAACGCGAUUCGCCCUACGGGAAAACCGACUGACUUCUGAUUGGAACUCAAUUAACUGGCCUUUAACAGCUACCAGGACUGGUUACAGCUACAUGUCAGUCCAAUGGAAGAAACUGAUCUUUAUGUGGAGCAAAAAGUGGCAUCACACUGGUUGAAUAUUAAAUGGGGAUUCUACUUAAGCGCCAAGCCCAAAAUACAAAAUUGGCAUUCGCUUUAAGGACAAAACUUUCUGGCAUGCCUCGCAGUAACAGGCGCUAGCAACAUGCUCCACAUCCUUGAGUGCCAAUCGAUGGUAUUGUUAGCUGCGAAAUGCGAAAUGCUUGAUGAAUACACCUUAUUUGAUUUUCUAUGGUGACAACGACUUAUCGAUCUUGAAGCUUUAAACUCAAGCACACAAUUUCUAAAAGAUUGGCUUUUCAACCAAACCCAAACUGUCCGCAACAUUUACAGUUCCACUAGUUGAACUCAGCCGUCAGCAACAGCUUGGCAGAUGUUGACACCAAACUACAAGAGCAUACCUAAACGAUAC
Long non-coding RNA from Drosophila novamexicana, 602 nucleotides. RefSeq lists it as uncharacterized. The record is from RefSeq and is a predicted model, not a curated record. Lineage: Eukaryota; Metazoa; Arthropoda; Insecta; Diptera; Drosophilidae. The transcript is spliced from 4 exons.